RNAcentral lists this ribosomal RNA (253 nucleotides) under uncultured bacterium. Its description in RNAcentral is "partial 16S ribosomal RNA". It matches the Rfam family "Bacterial small subunit ribosomal RNA", at positions 524 to 776 of the family's 1533-position model. The record is from RNAcentral.
UACGUAGGGCGCAAGCGUUAUCCGGAAUUCUUGGGCGUAAAGAGCUCGUAGGCGGUUUGUCGCGUCUGCCGUGAAAGUCCGGGGCUCAACUCCGGAUCUGCGGUGGGUACGGGCAGACUAGAGUGAUGUAGGGGAGAUCGGAAUUCCUGGUGUAGCGGUGAAAUGCGCAGAUAUCAGGAGGAACACCCGUGGCGAAGGCGGCUCUCUGGGACGGUACUGACGCUGAGACGCGAAAGCGUGGGGAGCGAACAGG